RNAcentral lists this ribosomal RNA (490 nucleotides) under uncultured bacterium. RNAcentral describes it as "bacterial SSU rRNA". It matches the Rfam family "Bacterial small subunit ribosomal RNA", at positions 29 to 507 of the family's 1533-position model. The record is from RNAcentral.
AUGAACGCUAGCUACAGGCUUAACACAUGCAAGUCGAGGGGGCAGCAUUAUCGAAGCUUGCUUUGAUAGAUGGCGACCGGCGCACGGGUGAGUAACGCGUAUCCAACCUUCCCCAUAGUCAGGAAUAGCCCGGCGAAAGUCGAAUUAAUGCCUGAUGUUUUCCACGGACGGCAUCUGAUGUGGAACAAAGAUUCAUCGCUAUGGGAUGGGGAUGCGUCUGAUUAGCUUGUUGGUGAGGUAACGGCUCACCAAGGCGACGAUCAGUAGGGGUUCUGAGAGGAAGGUCCCCCACAUUGGAACUGAGACACGGUCCAAACUCCUACGGGAGGCAGCAGUGAGGAAUAUUGGUCAAUGGGCGAGAGCCUGAACCAGCCAAGUAGCGUGCAGGAAGACGGCCCUAUGGGUUGUAAACUGCUUUUAUAGGGGAAUAAAGUGAGCCACGUGUGGUUUUUUGCAUGUACCCUAUGAAUAAGGACCGGCUAAUUCCGUG